AGUGAACGCUGGCGGUAGGCCUAACACAUGCAAGUCGAACGGCAGCACAGUAAGAGCUUGCUCUUACGGGUGGCGAGUGGCGGACGGGUGAGGAAUACAUCGGAAUCUACUUUUUCGUGGGGGAUAACGUAGGGAAACUUACGCUAAUACCGCAUACGACCUACGGGUGAAAGCAAGGGAUCUUCGGACCUUGCGCGAUUGAAUGAGCCGAUGUCGGAUUAGCUAGUUGGCGGGGUAAAGGCCCACCAAGGCGACGAUCCGUAGCUGGUCUGAGAGGAUGAUCAGCCACACUGGAACUGAGACACGGUCCAGACUCCUACGGGAGGCAGCAGUGGGGAAUAUUGGACAAUGGGCGCAAGCCUGAUCCAGCCAUACCGCGUGGGUGAAGAAGGCCUUCGGGUUGUAAAGCCCUUUUGUUGGGAAAGAAAAGCAGCAGGUUAAUACCCCGCUGUUCUGACGGUACCCAAAGAAUAAGCACCGGCGAACUUCGU
This 491-nucleotide ribosomal RNA is filed under the name uncultured bacterium. RNAcentral describes it as "partial 16S ribosomal RNA". It matches the Rfam family "Bacterial small subunit ribosomal RNA", at positions 29 to 506 of the family's 1533-position model. The record is from RNAcentral.